Long non-coding RNA from Vidua chalybeata, 210 nucleotides. RefSeq lists it as uncharacterized. The transcript has 3 exons. The record is from RefSeq and is a predicted model, not a curated record. NCBI's taxonomy places the organism in Eukaryota, Metazoa, Chordata, Aves, Passeriformes, Viduidae.
AGUGUACAGAAGAGCAUAGAUGACAAACAUAAUCUGCAGUUUCUAAAUGUGAAGUCCUUCAGUCUUCAAAGAAGAAGGGUUUUUUGAGUUCCAAGGGAGUGUGUGAAGAUGGCUUCUUCAACUUUCAUUUCAAUGGUUAAAGCCGAUAUAAUCACAUUUGUGAUCAUGACCACACACCUCACUGCCAGUGCUGGAUGUGGGAAGUCCUGA